GUCUUAAAUAUUGAAUUGGUUAUGAAAACAAACAGACUCCACGGAGGAGCCAGGAGCCGGGACGUACCCUGGACAGGGCCUCUGCCUCCUGCCUGUCCGCUGCCACAUUCCCAGGGGGUCGUGAGACUUUCUGCUCAGCAGGAGGGGGGCCGCAGAAGAGCAGGAGCAGCCUUGGGUGGGCUUCUCCAGGGUCACCUUUUCCAGCUUUUGAACAAGAGACCGGCGUCUUCAAUUCACUCCCGGCCCCGCCAGUCACCCUGGGUCCUGGGAGACACUUCUGCAGACAACUUGUCACGGGUGGCCCACAAUGCGACUUUCAAGGUUUUCUGGAAAAUCCAUGAAUAAUGGAAGUGUUUCUUAGUCGACACUCUCAGGAAUGGACCCCCUCACCCAGGCCCUGCUCGCUUGCCCCUGAAGGUAUAAAGCUCACUGUCCUGGACCGGGGUCUUGGCUCAAGCAUCAGCACAAUCGCUUGGGGUGUCUGUUCCACCUGCAGAGCCAUACCUGCUCUUACGUGUGUGUACGGGAUGUUUCUGGAAGGGCUCCCAGGGCAACGUCAACAUUGACUCUGAGAGGGGAGCUCGCUGGGCUGGAGACAGUGAGAUGAAAUCUUUUCUCUGUAAACCCUUCUCUGCUUAAAAAAAUAAGCCCCCAAAGCCACGUUCCACAAAGUGCCUGCUCCCAGGCGAGCAGCUCAGUGGACCCAGCAGUGCAGCUCCACCACGGGGCCCCCGUGUGGAGCCCCGGGAGGCCACUUCACUCAUCGUCACGUGCUGAGACCCGUCUGUGGCGUGCAGGCAGCCCUUGUUCUUUGUCAGUGCUGCGUAGUACUCCACUGCUCGAAUGCCCCAAAGCUUAUUUAUCCAUCCUCCUACGGAAGGAUGCAUUGUUCCUCCCAGUUUCUGGUGCUAUGGACACUUCAUAGGUAGCCUCUGGCUUCUUUGGGGUGCGCACAUAGCCCUCUCCUUUUAAAAUCUUAAACGUUAGCCAUUCAGCAAGUAAAUAAACUGGGAAAUGUUCUUGUGUACCCUGGGCCC
This 1037-nucleotide long non-coding RNA is filed under the name Bos indicus x Bos taurus (hybrid cattle). Its description in RNAcentral is "lncRNA (ENSBIXG00005018999.1)". The record is from RNAcentral. Lineage: Eukaryota; Metazoa; Chordata; Mammalia; Artiodactyla; Bovidae.